Molecule: long non-coding RNA, 2693 nt
Organism: Lactuca sativa (garden lettuce)
Lineage: Eukaryota; Viridiplantae; Streptophyta; Magnoliopsida; Asterales; Asteraceae
Source: RefSeq, a predicted model, not a curated record
AAUUGUUUACAAAUAGUGAGCGUGUGAUAUGCGUGUUGUCUUGUAUGUAAGUAUUUGAAUUACCAACAUGUGUGUUGCUCUUUUUCAUUACUUUAUCCUUGUGGUUUUUUUGAAAACAUAGUAGAUAUAGUAUGAUAAAACAAAACAAGUCAUAUUACUUUCUAUUAAACAAGAUAUUUUAAUUAAUAUUUUCGAAUUUUGAUAUGAACCACCAAUGUAAAUAUUUAUCGUGGAUGUGUUGGAUUUGACAAUAAAUCAUUCUACCUUAAGAAGUUUUAUAUACAAAGUGAGAAAUCCUUUUAUCUUAAACUAUUUAUACACAAUUUUACAAAUAGGCAACUUCUUUUAAAUUGUUAAGUGUUAAUAUUUUGAAUUGAAAACAAUAAUAAGAAAUAUGAAAUGAUCAUAUACAAAGUGAGGACAUACAAGCAAAUAUUCAUGAUUUCAAUGUUUAAAGUAUUACCAUCACCACCACCUUCACCUUUAGAUAAUUUCUUUAAUAAAUUUUUUAUUUAAGUGUAUUUAUAUGUAUUAUUAAAAAUAUUAAUAAUAAUGAAUUUAAAAAUUAGUAUACUUGUUUAUAUUUUUAAUAUAAUAAUAAUAAUAAUAAUAGUAAUAAUAAUAAGGUUUUUGUUUGCAGAAAAGUCAUAAUAUUUUUUUUGCAGAAAAGUCCCAAUAUUUUAGGUCAUUUUGUGAAAUAGUCCCAAUAUUUUGAGUCAGUUUAUGAAAUAGUCCCAAAUUAAUUUGUUGCCGGUUCCAACCGGUCAAAAAUGGUCAAAAUGCAUACUUUUGCUGGUUUUUAGGACUUUUUCGUAAACAAAAAUUAGUUUAGGACUAAGACGUAAACCAGACCAAAAUUUUAGGACUUCUUUGGAGAUUUCCCUUUUCCUAAAACAUGAAUAUAAAAAAUAAUAACAUGUAAAAGUGAAAAAAAAAAACUAAACAUCGAUGAGUUUAACGUGAUCAAAAAACCUAUGAAAGAGAAAAAACAAGAAAACAUGGAGAGAUAAUAUUUUUUAGGGAUAAUUUAGUCAUUUUGUUAAUGUAUAUAAGAAAUUUAUGUUGAACGUUACUUGAAGUAAAUUUUGGAUUCAUAAUUUUUUUUUUAAACCAAAAGCUUUAAACUCGGAAUGAAUGAUGGAGUUUUUCAUUUUUUGCGAGUUUUUUUUAGAUACUAAAAGUUAAAAACAAAUAUUUGAUCAUUAAAGUUUUGGCUUUGUGCUUAUUUGGUCAUUAAUACAUUUUAAGUUUUAAAAUGUGAUUGAACUUGUUAAUUUUUGUCAAAUGAUUAUUAUGACCGACAAAAACAAGUUUCCAUACUUUUUUGGUUAACUAAAAUCAUUAAUGCUUUUAUGAUUGUUCAUUAAACUCUUGAUUUUGUGUGAGUUAAAUUCGUUUUUACAACUUUAUAUUUUAUUUUAUUUUUAUGUGGUUUUUCAUCAUUCGAUGUUUUUUUUCACAAACUAUUUUUACAACUUCAUUUUUUACUUUGUUUUUCAUGCUUUUUUCAAUUUGUUUUCAUUGUUGGAUUAUGUGUCUAUGUAACAUCUCGAAAUUCAUGUACACCUAUUUAACCCUUCUCAUUUGUCAAGUUUUCAAGAUUAGCCCUUGAGUGGGAAAGUGUUGCAAAUGAGUACGCUGGGCGUACCGGAGAGUACGCUGUGCGUACUCAUGCGCUUAAGUUGGAUGCGGACUCGCCUAGGUACGCUGGGCGUACCCAAGGUUACGUUGGGCGUAGGGGGCCCAGAUGCAAACCCUAAUUUAAGGCUUGUGUACUAUAAAAGGAAUGCUAAGGCCUUAUCCUCAGCCUCCAUUUCAGAGAGUGAAACCCUAAGAGAGCAUUUCCUUCGUCCUAAAGCUUGUGUGUGAGUAUUUUGAGCUAAAGGUGCCUUUGUGUGUUAGUGAAGAAGGAGGAGAGGAGCUUGUGGAGGCUAGAGUUUGAAGUUCAAGCUUGGAUCUGAGUUCUCCAGAGGAAGGAGCUUCACUUUGAGGCGGAGGCUAGACCAGAUUUUACCGAGUUCGAGAUUACCGAGUUACCCGAGGACGGGAAGGUCAAGAUGAUAUGGACCGGAAGGUCAAAAGGACAUGGUCCGGAAGGUCAGGAGGUUACGGACCAGAAGCUCGAUACGGGUAAGACCGGAAGGUAUACCGGGAUUUGGGACGGAAGUCCCCUGAGACACUCGGACCGGAGGGUCCCACAGAGUUAUGGCCUGGAAAGGCGUAUGUGUUGUAUGCGGUAUUUUGGGGAACUCACUAAGCAUUUAUGCUUACAGUUGUUGUGCUGUGUGUUUCAGGUACUAGCGAGAACCGUGGGAAGGCGCCGACAUGAUUCGUACACACUGAGAGGAUUAUUUAUUUGAAACCUAUUGAGAUUCUGGGAUUUGUUUGUUAUGAUAAUAUUGGAUACAGUUUGUUUGACAUUGUUUUGAUGAUUAAAAAUAUGAUUUAAAAAUGAAAAAUUGUUUUGAAAAUUUACGUCGUUACAGUCUAAUUCUAUAACUAUAAUUAAUAUGUAUUUGAAUUGAUAGUAACAUAUUCCUUUUGGGUUGUCCUCAAGACUAACAAUUAGAAAUGAUGAUAUUCAAGAAAGGAGAUUAAUUUAUUAUUUGAUUAAUAAGAUUGGAACUUGGGACCUCCUCUCCCUCUCUCUUAAUCAACAAAAGCCUUAGCCAACUAGACUAGAGCCACAUUUG